UUGUGUGAAGCCAUUUUAAUUGACUUUGUGAGUUUGACUUGUGUUUUUGGGCCUUGGUCAAGGUUGAUUUGACUUUGCUAGGUUAAGAUCAUUGGAUUUAGGGGAUUGAUGGAAUGUACAUUCCAUCUCCCAAAAUGAAUGAAUGAUCUUAAUAUUGGGCCUUGGUCAAGGUUGAUUUGACUUUGCUAGGUUAAGAUCAUUGGAUUUAGGGGAUUGAUGGAAUGUACAUUCCAUCUCCCAAAAUGAAUGAAUGAUCUUAAUUUGGUAAAAGUCAUCCUUUGACCAAUUUGUGUUUGAUCCAUUCCCCCUUCCUCUUCGUCUCAUUCCCCUUCUUUAUCCAUU
Molecule: long non-coding RNA, 342 nt
Filed under: Lathyrus oleraceus (garden pea)
Lineage: Eukaryota; Viridiplantae; Streptophyta; Magnoliopsida; Fabales; Fabaceae
Description: Pisum sativum (pea) long non-coding RNA (PSAT_LNC010535)
Source: RNAcentral